Molecule: ribosomal RNA, 1346 nt
Filed under: metagenome
Description: bacterial LSU rRNA
Rfam family: Bacterial large subunit ribosomal RNA
Source: RNAcentral
UGAGUACGAGCUGCUACGGCAGCGAAGUGGGUGAUGUCAUGCUUCCAAGAAAAGCCCUAUACCCGUUAAGGCAUGAUGGCCUGUACCCGAAACCGACACAGGUGGGGUGGUAGAGAAUACCGAGGGGCGCGAGGUAACUCUCUCUAAGGAACUCGGCAAAAUGGCCCCGUAACUUCGGGAGAAGGGGUGCCACCGCAAGGUGGUCGCAGUGGAGAGGCCCAGGCGACUGUUUACCAAAAACACAGGUCUCCGCUAAGUCGCAAGACGAUGUAUGGGGGCUGACGCCUGCCCAGUGCCGGAAGGUUAAGGAAGCUGGUCAGCGUAAGCGAAGCUAGCGACUGAAGCCCCGGUGAACGGCGGCCGUAACGAUAACGGUCCUAAGGUAGCGAAAUUCCUUGUCGGGUAAGUUCCGACCCGCACGAAAGGCGUAACGAUCUGGGCGCUGUCUCGGAGAGAGGCUCGGCGAAUAGAAUUGUCUGUGAAGAUGCGGACUACGUGCACCCGGACAGAAAGACCCUAUGAAGCUUUACUGUAGCUUGGUAUUGUGCUCGGGCUCGGAAUGCGCAGGAUAGGUGGGAGGCUAUGAACCAUUGCUUGUGGGUGAUGGUGAGCCACUGGUGAGAUACCACUCUUUCCGAGCUAGAGUUCUAACAGCCACACGUUAUCCGGGGGCUGGACAGUAUCAGGUGGGCAGUUUGACUGGGGCGGUCGCCUCCUAAAAGGUAACGGAGGCGCGCAAAGGUUUGCUCAGGCUGGUUGGAAAUCAGCCGACGAGUGUAAAAGCAGAAGCAAGCUUGACUGUGAGACCUACAAGUCGAACAGGGAGGAAACUCGGCUUUAGUGAUCCGACGGUUCUGCGAGGAAGGGCCGUCGCUCAACGGAUAAAAGUUACUCUAGGGUAACAGGCUGAUCUCCCCCAAGAGUUCACAUCGACGGGGAGGUUUGGCACCUCGAUGUCGGCUCAUCGCAACCUGGGGCUGAAGUCGGUCCCAAGGGUUGGGCUGUUCGCCCAUUAAAGCGGUACGCGAGCUGGGUUCAGAACGUCGUGAGACAGUUCGGUCCAUAUCCGGUGCAUGCGCAGGAAUAUUGAGAGGAUUUCUCCCUAGUACGAGAGGACCGGGAGGAACGCACCUCUGGUGUACCAGUUAUCGUGCCAACGGUAAACGCUGGGUAGCCAUGUGCGGAGAGGAUAACCGCUGAAAGCAUCUAAGUGGGAAGCCCACCUCAAGAUGAGUAUUCCCAUGGGGUAACCCAGUAAGGUCACGGGAAGAACACCCGUUGAUAGGCUCUACGUGGAAGCGCAGUAAUGUGUGAAGCGGAGGAGUACUAAUAGACCGAGGGCUUGC